GAUGAACGCUGGCGGCGUGCCUAACACAUGCAAGUCGAACGAACGGACAGUAAGAUCUUUCCCCUACUGUUAGCGGCGGACGGGUGGGUGACGCAUACAUCACCAUCUUCUAAUUCUUGGGUGACUACGGAAGGCAACAUCCGCUACUACAUAAUACUUUCUACCGGUGAGUGCAGAGGAUAAUCACGCCUUUCGUGACUCUUAUAGCCGACGUCGGAUUAGCUAGUUGGCUUGGUAAAGGCACACCAAGGCAACGAUGCGUAGCCGGGCUGAGAGGAUGAUCGGCCACACUGGAACUGAGACACGGUCCAGACUCCUACGGGAGGCAGCAGUGGGGAAUAUUGGACAAUGGGCGAAAGCCUGACCGAGCAAUACCGCGUGGGUGAAGAAGGCCUUCGGGUUGUAAAGCCCUUUUGUUGGGAAAGAAAAGAAGCAGGUGAAUACGCGGAUGUUCUGACGGUACCCAAAGAAUAAGCACCGGCUAACUUCGUG
This 492-nucleotide ribosomal RNA is filed under the name uncultured bacterium. RNAcentral describes it as "partial 16S ribosomal RNA". It matches the Rfam family "Bacterial small subunit ribosomal RNA", at positions 28 to 507 of the family's 1533-position model. The record is from RNAcentral.